Molecule: ribosomal RNA, 643 nt
Filed under: uncultured actinomycete
Lineage: Bacteria; Bacillati; Actinomycetota; Actinomycetes; Actinomycetales
Description: bacterial SSU rRNA
Rfam family: Bacterial small subunit ribosomal RNA
Source: RNAcentral
CGCGGCCUAUCAGCUUGUUGGUGAGGUAAUGGCUCACCAAGGCGUCGACGGGUAGCCGGCCUGAGAGGGUGACCGGCCACACUGGGACUGAGACACGGCCCAGACUCCUACGGGAGGCAGCAGUGGGGAAUAUUGCACAAUGGGCGCAAGCCUGAUGCAGCAACGCCGCGUGAGGGAUGACGGCCUUCGGGUUGUAAACCUCUUUUAGCAGGGAAGAAGCGAAAGUGACGGUACCUGCAGAAAAAGCGCCGGCUAACUACGUGCCAGCAGCCGCGGUAAUACGUAGGGCGCAAGCGUUAUCCGGAAUUAUUGGGCGUAAAGAGCUCGUAGGCGGUUUGUCGCGUCUGCUGUGAAAUCCGGAGGCUCAACCUCCGGCCUGCAGUGGGUACGGGCAGACUAGAGUGCGGUAGGGGAGAUUGGAAUUUCUGGUGUAGCGGUGGAAUGCGCAGAUAUCAGGAGGAACACCGAUGGCGAAGGCAGAUCUCUGGGCCGUAACUGACGCUGAGGAGCGAAAGGGUGGGGAGCAAACAGGCUUAGAUACCCUGGUAGUCCACCCCGUAAACGUUGGGAACUAGUUGUGGGGUCCAUUCCACGGAUUCCGUGACGCAGCUAACGCAUUAAGUUCCCCGCCUGGGGAGUACGG